RNAcentral lists this ribosomal RNA (493 nucleotides) under uncultured Glomus. RNAcentral's name for it is "SSU rRNA". It matches the Rfam family "Eukaryotic small subunit ribosomal RNA", at positions 582 to 1078 of the family's 1831-position model. Lineage: Eukaryota; Fungi; Glomeromycota; Glomeromycetes; Glomerales; Glomeraceae. The record is from RNAcentral.
AUUCCCCCUCCAAUAGCGUAUAUUAAAGUUGUUGCAGUUAAAAAGCUCGUAGUUGAAUUUCGAGAUCAAUUUGUGGGUCGUGCCUCGGUACGUACUGGCAUUAUCGAUUUCUCCCUUCUGAAGAACCGCGAUGUCAUUAAUUUGGUGUCGUGGGGAAUCAGGACUGUUACUUUGAAAAAAUUAGAGUGUUUAAAGCAGGCUUACGCUUGAAUACAUUAGCAUGGAAUAAUGAAAUAGGACGUUUGAUUCUAUUUUGUUGGUUUCUAGGAUCGACGUAAUGAUUAAUAGGGAUAGUUGGGGGCAUUAGUAUUCAAUUGUCAGAGGUGAAAUUCUUGGAUUUAUUGAAGACUAACUACUGCGAAAGCAUUUGCCAAGGAUGUUUUCAUUAAUCAAGAACGAAAGUUAGGGGAUCGAAGACGAUCAGAUACCGUCGUAGUCUUAACCAUAAACUAUGCCGACUAGGGAUCGGAUGAUGUUAAUUUUUAAUGACUCA